CCUGCCCAAGAGAUCGGGAUAACACCUGGAAACAGAUGCUAAUACCGGAUAACAACAGAUGAUGCCUAUCAACUGUUUAAAAGAUGGUUCUGCUAUCACUCUUGGAUGGACCUGCGGUGCAUUAGCUAGUUGGUAGGGUAACGGCCUACCAAGGCGAUGAUGCAUAGCCGAGUUGACGAGACUGAUCGGCCUACAUUUGGGACUGAGACGACGGCCCAAACUCCUACGGGAGGCAGCAGCC
RNAcentral lists this ribosomal RNA (241 nucleotides) under uncultured Lactobacillus sp. Its description in RNAcentral is "partial 16S ribosomal RNA". It matches the Rfam family "Bacterial small subunit ribosomal RNA", at positions 125 to 355 of the family's 1533-position model. The record is from RNAcentral. Lineage: Bacteria; Bacillati; Bacillota; Bacilli; Lactobacillales; Lactobacillaceae.